This 254-nucleotide ribosomal RNA is filed under the name uncultured bacterium. RNAcentral describes it as "partial 16S ribosomal RNA". It matches the Rfam family "Bacterial small subunit ribosomal RNA", at positions 524 to 776 of the family's 1533-position model. The record is from RNAcentral.
UACGUAGGGUGCGAGCGUUGUCCGGAUUUAUUGGGCGUAAAGAGCUCGUAGGUGGUUCGGUAAGUCGGAUGUGAAAUCUCCAGGCUCAACCUGGAGGGGUCAUUCGAUACUGCCGUGACUAGAGGUCGGUAGGGGAGUGUGGAAUUCCUGGUGGAGCGGUGAAAUGCGCAGAUAUCAGGAGGAACACCCGUAGCGAAGGCGGCACUCUGGGCCGAUACUGACACUGAGGAGCGAAAGCGUGGGGAGCGAACAGG